RNAcentral lists this ribosomal RNA (484 nucleotides) under uncultured bacterium. RNAcentral's name for it is "partial 16S ribosomal RNA". It matches the Rfam family "Bacterial small subunit ribosomal RNA", at positions 30 to 507 of the family's 1533-position model. The record is from RNAcentral.
AUUGAACGCUGGCGGCAGGCCUAACACAUGCAAGUCGAGCGGAUGAAGGGAGCUUGCUCCUGGAUUCAGCGGCGGACGGGUGAGUAAUGCCUAGGAAUCUGCCUGGUAGUGGGGGAUAACGUCCGGAAACGGGCGCUAAUACCGCAUACGUCCUGAGGGAGGAAGUGGGGGAUCUUCGGACCUCACGCUAUCAGAUGAGCCUAGGUCGGAUUAGCUAGUUGGUGGGGUAAAGGCCUACCAAGGCGACGAUCCGUAACUGGUCUGAGAGGAUGAUCAGUCACACUGGAACUGAGACACGGUCCAGACUCCUACGGGAGGCAGCAGUGGGGAAUAUUGGACAAUGGGCGAAAGCCUGAUCCAGCCAUGCCGCGUGUGUGAAGAAGGUCUUCGGAUUGUAAAGCACUUUAAGUUGGGAGGAAGGGCAGUAAGUUAAUACCUUGCUGUUUUGACGUUACCAACAGAAUAAGCGCCGGCUAACUUCGUG